CGUUGGUCCUCCCGCAUCGAAACCUUGUCUACCUGGUCAGGCCCGGAAGGGAGCAGCCACGGCGAGGAGCUUCGAGUGCCGGGAUGUGGCUGGCGGGC
Oceanimonas sp. GK1 is the source of this 98-nucleotide non-coding RNA. It matches the Rfam family "Bacterial small signal recognition particle RNA". Rfam says of the family: The signal recognition particle (SRP) is a universally conserved ribonucleoprotein involved in the co-translational targeting of proteins to membranes. Archaeal SRP consists of a 7S RNA and homologues of the eukaryotic SRP19 and SRP54 proteins. In most bacteria, the SRP consists of a 4.5S RNA and the Ffh protein (a homologue of the eukaryotic SRP54 protein). The record is from Rfam. Lineage: Bacteria; Pseudomonadati; Pseudomonadota; Gammaproteobacteria; Aeromonadales; Aeromonadaceae.